AAUUUUAUAAUAGUAUUUCUAUCAUACAUUAGUUUAUACCGAAAGGGAGAAAAAGAAUUAAAUAACUAGUUAGUCGUACUUUUUGCAUAACGGUUCAUCCAAAAUUUCAAUUAUAUAAUUAUACCCGAAAUAAGAAGAUCUAAUUUUUAGUGAGUUAUAGAGUUAUGAUUGUAACAUGUUGCAUUAUGUUAGUAAAACUAAAAAUUAGGGGCGAAAAACCUUCAAUUCUUAAGAUAUCUGGAUGUUUUAGAAAAGUAUUUAGUACUACAGAGACAGGUAGUAAAUGUUUAAAUUUACUACUUAGAGAAUAUUUUAUUUAUUUAAUAUAUAUUUUAGAUUUAGUUUUCCAAUUAAAAUGGUAUCCAAUAAUAUUUUUAAUUUCAAAUCUCUAAAAAUAUAAAACCUAAGUACAUAAUUCAUAGUAGUUUAGUUUAUGAUGAGAUAAGUAAUAAAAGAAAUACAAUAAGAAAAAGGAACUCGGCAAAUAUUUAUACUUCACCUGUUUAUCAAAAACAUAGCCCUAAGAUAAAGUUAUUUAGGGUAAAACCUGCCCAGUGAGGAUAGUCUCUUAAACGGCCGCGGUACCUUGACCGUGCUAAGGUAGCAUAAUCAUUUGACUUUUAAAUGAAGUCUGGAAUGAACGGAUUAAUUAUUGGAGUUAAGCUGUCUCUUUCUUAAUCUAUUUAAAUUACUAAUUAGGUGAAAAGGCCUAAAAAAGACAAAAGACGAGAAGACCCUGAGAGUUUUAAUUAAGAAUUUUUGUUGGGGCGACAAAAGGACAUGUGUUUAGUAAACUCCUUUGUUAUAAGUUUAUAAGUCGAAUAUUAUUAAGAACAGAUAAACUACCUCAGGGAUAACAGCAUAAUCUAAUAUGGGUUUGUGACCUCGAUGUUGGACUAGGAAGCUUAAAGGUUAGCCGCUUUUAAGUUAGGUUCUGUUCGAACUUUUAUAUCCUACAUGAUCUGAGUUCAGACCGGCGUAAGCCAGGUCAGAUUCUAUCUUUUAUAUUGGUAACCUUAGUACGAAAGGACCAGGUAUACAGCUAUAAUAGU
Molecule: ribosomal RNA, 1052 nt
Filed under: Umbraculum mediterraneum
Lineage: Eukaryota; Metazoa; Mollusca; Gastropoda; Umbraculida; Umbraculidae
Description: LSU rRNA
Rfam family: Bacterial large subunit ribosomal RNA
Source: RNAcentral